CGGCGGAGAGGCGGGCGGCGGCGGCGCGGCGGAGAGGCGGGCGGCGGCGGCGCGGCGGAGAGGCGGGCGGCGGCGGCGCGGCGGAGAGGCGGGCGGCGGCGGCGCGGCGGAGAGGCGGGCGGCGGCGGCGCGGCGGAGAGGCGGGCGGCGGCGGCGAGGCGGGCGGCGGCGGCGAGGCGGUCGGCGGCGGCGCGGCGGAGAGGCGGACAGCGGCGGAGAGGCGGACAGCGGCGGAGAGGCGCACAGCGGCGGAGAGGCGCACAGCGGCGGCGAGGCGCACAGCGGCGGCGCAGGCGCGGAGAGGCGCAGGCCCAGGCUCCACUCCCCAGCUGUGAAAGGAACAUACAUAUGAUAGUUGAGAAAGACACAUAUUCUGAUCAUGAAGAAAUAAACACAAGUUAAAUAUGACUAAGCAGAAAGAUGGAAGGACCAGGAAUGGUGAUGCUAACUUGGAACCACGAUGCAGGCUCUAAACUCCUCUACAAUCAUCCUCCCUUGUGAGAAAAAUACCUACUGUUUAAGACAGAAUUCAUCAAGUAGCAGAAGUAAUGGAAGGGCCAAGGGGAAGAAAGAUGGACAAAACCUGAAAAUUGAAAGUACAAUAAAAUGAAAAUUACAAAUGAAAACCAGUAUGCCUGAGUUAUACAUGACUGUUUAGUAGAGUGUCUUCAUGUGGGUUAAAGAAGAAAAGGAAAUACCAGCUGGAAUCAGCAGAACAGAUUUAGCACUUGACCCUUGGAUACUUUUCAUUCUAUUUAUCUAUCAUAUUUUUAUUGGUUUGUAUUCCAUUGACUACUAUAUGCACCGACCCUCAGCAAAUUCAUUCAAUAGAGAGGAGAGAUUAUAUCUCCACUGUAUCAGUGGAGCUGCUUAGGAACAUUUCUCCCGCUUCUUGCAUGUAUUUUGUCCUAUUUGUACAUUGUAUUUUAUGAGCUGCUUUAGAAUAGUAGAAUAACUUUCCUUUAUAUGGUAUAGAACUUUUGAUAUAUCUCAAAUAAAUUUUUUAAAAAUGA
RNAcentral lists this long non-coding RNA (1013 nucleotides) under Homo sapiens (human). RNAcentral describes it as "HSALNT0149514". The record is from RNAcentral. Lineage: Eukaryota; Metazoa; Chordata; Mammalia; Primates; Hominidae.